CCUACGGGAGGCAGCAGUGGGGAAUUUUCCGCAAUGGGCGAAAGCCUGACGGAGCAAUCUCGCGUGAGGGAAGACGGCCUAUGGGUUGUAAACCUCUUUUCUCAGGGAGGAACUCAAUGACGUUACCUGAGGAAUAAGCAUCGGCUAACUCCGUGCCAGCAGCCGCGGUAAGACGGAGGAUGCAAGUGUUAUCCGGAAUCACUGGGCGUAAAGCGUCUGUAGGUGGUUAAGCAAGUCAACUGUUAAAUCUUGAGGCUCAACUUCAAAAUCGCAGUCGAAACUGUUUGACUAGAGUAUAGUAGGGGUAAAGGGAAUUUCCAGUGGAGCGGUGAAAUGCGUAGAUAUUGGAAAGAACACCGAUGGCGAAGGCACUUUACUGGGCUAUUACUGACACUCAGAGACGAAAGCUAGGGUAGCAAAUGGGAUUAGAUACCCCAGUAGUCCUAGCCGUAAACAAUGGAUACUAGAUGUUGAACAGAUCGACCUGUGCAGUAUCAAAGCUAACGCGUUAAGUAUCCCGCCUGGGAAGUAUGCUCGCAAGAGUGAAACUCAAAGGAAUUGACGG
This 565-nucleotide ribosomal RNA is filed under the name uncultured bacterium. Its description in RNAcentral is "bacterial SSU rRNA". It matches the Rfam family "Bacterial small subunit ribosomal RNA", at positions 338 to 916 of the family's 1533-position model. The record is from RNAcentral.